UCCUCUUUUCCCUCUUCUUUUUUUCUCAUUUAUUUAUUUAUUUAUUUUUAGUUUUUUUUCUUUCCAUUUUGGGAUGACCGACCCAUUUUUUUUUCAUUCACCAUUCUUCUUCUUCUUCUUCUUGCUUCCUCGACACCCACACACAGUUUCCCUACUCUCUUAUCUCUUAUCUCUUUUUUUCCUUUCAUUUUUCUCUCCACAUUUUUUUUUCUUUUCGAAUUUUGUCCUUCAAUUUGUUCUUUCUCAUCUUUUUCCUUUCUCUCCCUCCAACCACGCACCACACAAUACCCACACCAUCAUCUCCCUUUCCCUCAUUUUUUUUCUCUUUUUUCUUUUAUAUUUUAUAUUUUUAUUUUUUUUCUCCACUCAAACUCACUACACCGCUCCACCUGUCGGCCGAUUAUUGACAGGUUGCCGACGCUACUUCCGACGACCUCCUUCCACAUCUCCAUUGCUACUCUCUUAUUCUCUUUGAAAUUGGGAAACUUACCAUUGGAUAAGGAAAGUAAGACUCUCAUUGGAAGACGUUUUUGGGAACUUUGAAAUUCUAAGGAUUUGUUUUGGUAAAGAAGAUAUGGAUAUUGGGAGUUUAAGGAAAAUUGGACUACUCUAGAAUAAUUGAGAGUCCACAACUACAUGUAUUUUUGAAAUAGGACUUUGGAUGGGAAGAUGAGAAAAAGAAGGAAAAACGGGAGACUAUUAUUGGAUAAUGGAUUCACGAAUGAGAGAAAUUCUUUUAGAGAUCAUGUCAUUAAUGGAAUUAAAUGGAGACUGCAGAUUUGAUUCCAAAAAGGUGCGGCCGGACCAUGGCAUUACAUAUAGACAUAGUCGGCAUCUAAAAGAGAAAGGAGUUUGGAUUCAUUAAGGCUCACCAUCACACAGCCAUAGGGGGGCCACGCACAGCCACUUUGGAGAAUCUCCACAUAUACCAUGCACAGAUUUUGGAAAGCGGUAGAGGACUUCAGACGACAAAUUGGGUUGCCAUUUUGGACGCACCAUAGAGGAGAAUUCUUCAAGACAAACAACCAUACACCUCCAUGGGCUGCAAUUGGGGAACCACGCACUAAUAGGAACACGCCACUUCAGGAAGUCUCCACAUCCGCAUGAAGGAGUCCACACGCAACAGAUUGGCAUUCUCCAAGACUUACACGCACAUUCCAUGCCACCUUGAAUGAUUUCCAUUGUGGAUGCCAUUCACGAUUGCGUCUAUUUUAAAUAGAAACACCACACUACAGCAUGUAUUUUGGGAGGCUACCUGGAUGCACUUUCCAUGGGUUGUUACUUGCAAAAUUUGCCCAUAACCACACUUAGGUACCCUCCAUCAGUUUCGAAGUGGUGUACUACAAUCAAAUAAGAAAGAAUACACACAGUUCGGGGAAAUGGCCUUCAGAAUCCGCAUUUUAAGAGAACGGACUGCAACCUUUAAACAUCCACUACCAGUCCAUGCACGAUGACAAACCAUGCCUACCACUUUCCGAAAACAACCGCCACAUUGCAUGCAUGCAAAGACACCAUGCACAUCCACUUUGGAAGGUGACAUGUUUUGAGGACUUUCCACCAUUACUGAAUGAGGUAGAGUUAAAGUUUUUCUUGUCUUGAUUAUGAUUCUUUUAUUGAUUUGAAAGUUAGUUCUUUUUUUAUAUAUUAGUUUUGAAUUUGAACUAAGUUCAAGGUCAAAGUUUUUUAUUUAUUUAUUAGUUUUGAUUUUAAAUUAGAAUGAAAGUCAAAGUUUUUAUUUAUUAGUUUCUAUUUUAAGUUAGAGCUCUUUAUUUAAUUUUUGAUGCGUGAAUAUUAAUUUUGAAGUGGUUUUAGAAUUUUGGUUAAUUUACUUUAAUCGAUCCCAUGUUAUUAUCUCCAUAUGUUAAGUUUGGUUUUAAUCCUUGAUUGGUUUUUAUCUUAGUUCAUGCACUUCUUGGAUUAUGUUAGUCUUGGUUAAUAUUUUUGUUAGUUUGUUUGAUUUGGAAGUCAUUAGUUUGUUGCCUCAGUGAUUGUUGGUCAAAUCCCUUUUUUAAAGGCCAUUGGAAACUCAUGAAGGUUGGCCCUACUCUCGCCACUUUAGUCGGCUUGGUUGUUAAAAAUUUUAUUUUGUGAUUUUAUUUUCUUUUGGGUUGCCUAUGUUUGAUCCAUGAGUAUUUUCAUUUGUAAAUUAUUUCUUUCUUUUUAAAAAAUAAACAUUUUCUCAAAAUGUUCCUCAUUAAAAUGCAUUUCAAAAAUUCAUUUAGAGUCCUUAAAAUCGAAAUCUCAUUUUCUUAAAUAACAUGCAACCAUAUUUAAUCGGUUUGCAUCUUUCUCAGUUUUCAAUAAAAAUUCUGGUUUUGAAUGGAAUAUGAAUCCAAGCUUGUGGUCUCAAAUAAAUGGGAUAAUUCUACUCUAGAUUUGUGUAUAUCAAUUGGGGAAUUGGUGGAACCCUUACAUAAGAAAAUUUUCAAAACUCUUCCUUGCUGCUAAUUUUCAUUCAACCACUGACCUUUUAGAUUUAAAAUUCGUUUUAGCAAUUUUAGAAUAUUUAAAAAAAAAUUCCAAAACUUGUAUGAUUUUCCUCACUUCUUGAACUUAAAUUUAAAAUUUCGUUUGAGUUAGAAAGCAAUUUUGGAAUAGAAUAUAUGAAUGAGUUGUUAGGAGGGCUCUGUUUUCACCCAGUUCUAGACACUUGAAAUAUUUUUGUAAAAUUAAAAUAACAAAUGACUUUUCAAAUUUUAUUCAAUAUUUUUCUUUAAUUAUAGACUUCUUGAAAUUAAUUUUAGACAUAUAAAAUAUUAAAAAUAUCAGACUUUGAGGAAGAUAUGAUUUUUCAUAGCCGUACCUACUACACAUGAUGGAAUCUAAACAUGUGAUUAGUUGGAGUGUUUUAAAAAUAUUUUUGUGUACUCCCCAACCCUAGAUUUAUUUUUCCUGUGAUAUAAACACUUGAACGAUGUGAGUGAUUUUUUUGUAAAAUUUUAUGUGAUCUCUUAUUAUUUUAAAACAAAUUAUUUAUGCAUGCCACUAUUUUUUUACCUAAUCUAGAUCUUUUGGAACUUUUGGGUGUCCUUGCUACAAUUUGUCAUUUGAAUGAGUGUUUGGUUUUUGGUAUGUUGUUCUAGAUGCGUAUUUGUUGUUUCCUGGAAUUUUUUGUAAUUAAAUUCCACUCCAAGACAUUUUUUAGAAAUUGUUUUGUGAUGCUCCAUUUACCAAUUGCAUGUUGAUGGUCUUGUAUUUCGUUUAAAUUUGAUAUUAUUUUAGGAGUCAUUUUAUUUACCUUGGCUCAAUUUUAGCUUUGGUAUUGUAUAUUAGACAUAAUGAAUAUGUUAUAUAAUUUAUACUCAUCCUAACCACUCUAGCAUUUUUUGAGGAAUCUUAUAAAUUAUGCAUGCUAUCCAGGUACGCUCUCUAUCACCUAUUUUCUGAAACUUUAUGAACAUGCGUGUUAUUGUGAGCCAUAUCUAUGUUUGAUUCCAUCAUUGGGUGCCUAGAUGUUUGCUUGAUUUGCUCUGAUAAAAUGCAUGUUGUGUGUUAUAUUUUUGUGCUAACUUUAAUGUUUUAUGAUAGCACUUGAGAGACAGUCCAGGUACACAUCCUAACCCUCCUUUGCGAUUGGGAUUUGAUUUCUUUUUUGAUAUGCUAGUUUUAAAAUCACCUUAACCUACCUAGGUACUUCAAUCAAUUGAUUAAUUGUCAUUUUUCCCUCGACUUAGUCAUUAGAGACCUUUUUAGGGCUUAGAGGUGUGAUACCUCUUAAAGGUACCUUCCCAAUAGGUAACCUGAUCCCUAAACCAAGACUUGGGUUUUUCAAGAUUUGCUUUUCCUAAACUAUGGAGUCACUUCUUUAGGGUUUUCUUUCUUGUUUUAUUUUCCCUUUUAAAAUAAAAUAAAAUAAGUGGCGACUCCAACUUUUCCAAAACUAAUUUUUCACCAAUAAAAAUGAGUCUUGCCGAUUGAGUGGGAACGCAUGUGAAAAAUGUGGGUCCACAGAUUUGCUUCAUCUUCUGUUUGUUGAUGACACCAUUUUAUUUUACGAGGCCAAUAGUGAGCACCUGAGAUACUUGAGUUGAGUGUUCUUAUGGUUCGAGGUGAUUUCUAGUUUAAAAGUGAACAUGGAUGAAAGUGAGGCUAUCCCUGUAGGAAGGGUUGAUUCUUUAGAGAAUAUUGUUUCGAUGUUGGGGUGUAGAAUUGGGAAGCUCCCUACUUCUUAUUUGGGUCUUCCCUUGGGUGCCCCUUUCAUAUCCUCAAGGGUGUGGGAUGUAGUGGAAGAGAGAUUCAGAAAAUGUUUGUCCUUGUGGAAGAGGUAGUAUCUCUCUAAGAGGGAAAGGCUUACUUUGAUAAAGAGCACUUUUUCAAGUCUCCCAAUUUAGUUUAUGUCUCUUUUUGUCAUCCCGUGAAAGGUGCGUACAAGACUUGAAAAGAUCCAAAGAGACUUCUUGUGUGGCGGUGGUGUCUUAGAGAAAAAGUCGCACUUAGUAAAUUGGAGUUCGAUUUGUGCUUAUAUGAGACAAGGAGGCUUAGGUAUUCGCAGUCUUGUGGCCUUAAACAAAGCUUUGCUUGGGAAGUGGAGCUAGAAAUUUGCUGUAAAAAAGGAUUCUUUGUGGAAACAAGUCAUUAUAGAGAAAUUUGAGGUAAAGGAAAUGGUUGGUGUUCGAGAGAAGUGAGGGGAGCCUAUGGUGUGGGAGUGUGGAAAACUAUUAGAAAAGAUUGGGAAAGUAUUCAUUCUAAAUCCCACUUUAUCGUAAAGAAUGGGAGGAAGGUCAAAUUUUGGAAGGAUUUGUGGUGUGAGGACCAAACUUUGAAAGAUGUUUUCCCUAAUUUGUUCCGAUUGGUGGUCAACAAGGAUGAGUGGGUGUUUGAUGCUUGGGAGGAAGGUGGAGAGGUGGGUAGUUCGAAUCCUUUGUUUUCAAGACACUUUAACAAUUGAGAAAUGGAAGAGGUGGAGGGCUUGCUCUGGAAACUCCAUCCUUUUGUUUUGAAUAGAGACAUGGAGGAUGUCUUGAGUUGGAAGAAUAACAAGAAGACUCAUUUUCUAUUAGAUCUCUCUACUGCUCUUUCACAAGAGCUUCUAGUGACCCUUUUCCUUAGAGUAUUAUUUGGAGAUCUUAGGCUCCGAUAAGGGUAAGUUUUUUUGCUUGGGAAACAUCUUGGAACAUAAUCUUGACCAUUGAUCAGCUCAAAAUAAGGGGUUGGAAUAUGCUGAAUAGGUGUUACUUGUGUAAAGUGGAAGAGGAAACCAAUGACCACUUGAUCCUAUUUUGUAAGAAGGCUACAAUGCUAUGGAGCUUACUUUUCUCUCUUUUUGAUAUGCAGUGGGUCCUGCACUCCUCAAUCAAAAGGAAUUUGAUUGGUUGGCAUGGUGCUUUUGUGAGUAAGAAAAAGGAAAAGGCUUUGAGGACUACCCCUCUUUAUUUAAUGUGGACUUUAUGGAAUGAAAGAAAUGAAAAAGUGUCAAAGAAAUGAAAAAGUGUUCAAUGACACUGAAUGAUCUGACCAACUUUAGAACUUUCUUUUUUAUACACUUUUGUGAAUUGGGGUAAGGUAUAUUUAGAGGAUCAUUCUUUAUCUAUGAUUGAUUUUUUAGAGUGGUUUUUGUAUAAAUAAGAGAAAGGUUUUCUUCUUUCUCUUUGUCUAACUUCUUGGGUGUUGCUUGUAUACUUCAUGUGUACUUUUUUCGCCGUUUCUAGGCUUUACUAAUACAAUCUCUUAUUUAACUGUAUAAAAAAAAAAAGAAGAUAAAUUUAGGAAUCUACUUAUCAUCAUGAAAGAAGAUAUAAAAUCAUAUUAUUUCUAUAUGAAAAUGAUUUUGAGCAAGUGAAAGUAGGAGAGGGAAGUUUACUUUGGAAUUAUCCUCAUCUAAAAGAAAGGGCACUUGGGGAGAGAGAAUGCAUAAACUUUAAUUUAAAUAUUUCAAAAUUUUUAAAGAAAUUUAAGUUUACAUAAGUGGGUUUCUAUUUUCCUUUUUUUUAAAAAAAAAAAAAAAUCACCAUACCAAAACAUGCUUUUCCCUAAUUGCAAUAACAAAUAGAACUAUAAAUAAAAAAAUUUAAUAAAUAAUGUAUGUUUUAUUUUUUUAUUUCAAAUUUAAAAUAAAAACAAAAUAUAUUUUUAAAAUAUGAGAUAUUUCUUAUCAUCCAAUAUUUAAAUAUUUUUUAUUUUAAAAAUAUUUUCUUAGUAUUAUUUCACCCAUUUGAAUUAUUAACUAUCAUUUACUUAUUUUCUUAAUAUUCAAUAAAAAAAUUUAAAUGAUAUUGUAAUAAUUCUCAAGAUAAAAUUCAAAAUUAAGAGAAAUACAAUUUUUUUUAAAUCUUAUUUAAUAUAUAUUAAAUAAUAUUUAUUACGAUACUAAAAUUAAUGCUUUUUAUUUUUAAAAUUAAAUUAUAAAAUGUAAAAUAUAAUAUAAUGUUUUUAAAAAAAUUAAAUGAUAUUUUUUGAAAUAAUAAAUUUUAAAAUUUAUCAGGUAUCAUGGUCUUAGAAAAUUUGAAAAUUAAAUUUUGAGGGUAGAUGCUGACGAUCUUGCCUGCUGGUAUCAAGCAUUUGGUGCAAAAGCAUAUUAAUUAGAAGCCAUGCCUGCCAAAAAGCUGCAUACACUUUGUGGUGGAAGGGUUUUUUUGAAUCUUGUACAUGUAUAUAUACACAAGGCUUACGCUUGACUUUCUAUUGGUUUCAGGCUUCCAGCAUAUUAAAGGACAUGGGCAGAAAGAAGGAUGGUAUGAUGGUGAAAGCACAGUUGUCUCUGUCUUUGUAGUCAUUGUUGUAUCCACUGUAAGGGGCUCAGGCAUAUAGACAAUUUCAACAAGAUAUUCAAAGCCAUAAACAAUAUCCUGGUUGAUGUUGUCCGAAUGGGGGCAGCAUCAGCAGAUUUGGAUACUUGAGAUUGUUGUCAGAGAUGUUGUUCGCUUAAAAGAUUGGAGAUCAAUUUGAUUGUUCUCGGAUGGGCCUUUGUUCCAAGUCGAUGACACGACCCUGACGGAUCAGGAGCGAGGAGAACCCGUACCCUCAAUAGGUAAGGUUGGUCUGCCAGUUUUGUUGCUGAGAAUGGUGGCAGAUCCCAUACCCUCACCGUCUGGUCAGCAAUCAUUGAUCUCUUCGUCGGGCGGAGUACAGAGGGCCUCCUGGGGUGCCACAGCAAUAAUAAUAACUGCAGCAACAAUGGAUUCAUGCACUUGUAGCAAAUUUUCAUCCAACAACAAUCUAUGAGCAGGAGCUUCUUCAUCUCCUAUCUUUCAAACAAACAACACCUCUGACUACAAUUUCAAAAAUCCAAAUCUGCUGAAGCUGCCCAUUUCAAACAACAUCAACCCGGAUAUUGUUGCUGACAUUGGAUAAUUCCUGGGGAAUCACCUGUUACACCUUAAGUUACUCAAAACACAGACCAAACUUGAUGACUAGAAAGGCAGCAACAAGUAUGCUUCCCCCAUCAUACUGCCAUUCUUUCAGCCCAUGUCCUUUAAGGCAGAAACCAAGAUGAAAUGCAGCACAAAAGCUACAAGCAAGAGAAUGGUAAGAUCCUCGCAAGCUUCCACCACCAAGUGGAAGAAGCCUUUUGUGUGUGGAUUUCAGUAACACCAAGGCCUUGUGCGAGCAGGCAAAAUCUUCAAGAUCACCAAGAAUGCCCUUUUCACAUCACAGGCGCCGGAGCCGGUCCAUCAACACCUCCAGAAACCGUAAGUUCCCAACGGUGAAAGUUUUUCUUCUUCACCAUUUCACCAAGGCUUAUUUGAUCAAUCUUGGACAAGAGAUGCGCCGGAUUAACAUUAAAUGCUCUUCUUCUUGCUGGACAAAGCAUCCCUGAGAAACGAGAAAAUCAUCGACCCCUGGAAAAAGAGACGCUCGGCGAAGAUCAAAUUAAUGCCAUUAUCGAGUUCACAAAGGUUGUUUGAUAACUGAUAAGCGAGCCAGGACUCCGUACAUGCUUGCAGAAACAAGAAAAAGAAUUAUUUGAUCAAAGCAGCAUGAUGGCUCAGAGAGAAUUGAAAAGGGUUGGCUGGAUGGGGAAGGCUGCAGGGAGGGCAUAAUUAUAACAUUUUUUUUCACGCGGCAUUCUCUGAGGCCGUCUUUGUUGACCAGUUACACCAAUCAUGAGCGUAAGUUCCAUGAAAUUACUGUCGUAGGAGCAUCAUUUAUUGUUUGUUUUUUUUCUUAUUGUUUGGAAUCUUUGGUACUGAAGUGUAACCCCCAAAGCAGGACCAUUAUCUUCUUCAAAAAUUGUAUACAUACUAUCAUUUAGGAAUUAUGGACCUCUCAUUUUUUAAUUUGAGAAAGAAAAAAUUGUCGAUACAUGCAAUGCAAUGACUUUUGGACA
This is a long non-coding RNA of Vitis vinifera (wine grape), 8266 nucleotides long. RefSeq lists it as uncharacterized. The transcript is spliced from 2 exons. Lineage: Eukaryota; Viridiplantae; Streptophyta; Magnoliopsida; Vitales; Vitaceae. The record is from RefSeq and is a predicted model, not a curated record.